RNAcentral lists this ribosomal RNA (531 nucleotides) under uncultured bacterium. RNAcentral's name for it is "bacterial SSU rRNA". It matches the Rfam family "Bacterial small subunit ribosomal RNA", at positions 777 to 1307 of the family's 1533-position model. The record is from RNAcentral.
AAUAGAUACCCAGGUAGCCCACGCCGUAAACGGUGGGUACUAGGUGUGGGUUUCCUUCCUUGGGAUCCGUGCCGUAGCUAACGCAUUAAGUACCCCGCCUGGGGAGUACGGCCGCAAGGCUAAAACUCAAAGGAAUUGACGGGGGCCCGCACAAGCGGCGGAGCAUGUGGAUUAAUUCGAUGCAACGCGAAGAACCUUACCUGGGUUUGACAUGCACAGGACGCUGGUAGAGAUAUCAGUUCCCUUGUGGUCUGUGUGCAGGUGGUGCAUGGCUGUCGUCAGCUCGUGUCGGGAGAUGUUGGGUUAAGUCCCGCAACGAGCGCAACCCUUGUCUCAUGUUGCCAGCACGUGAUGGUGGGGACUCGUGAGAGACUGCCGGGGUCAACUCGGAGGAAGGUGGGGAUGACGUCAAGUCAUCAUGCCCCUUAUGUCCAGGGCUUCACACAUGCUACAAUGGCCGGUACAAAGGGCUGCGAUGCCGUGAGGUUAAGCGAAUCCUUUAAAGCCGGUCUCAGUUCGGAUCGGGGUCUG